Molecule: non-coding RNA, 902 nt
Organism: Marmota monax (woodchuck)
Lineage: Eukaryota; Metazoa; Chordata; Mammalia; Rodentia; Sciuridae
Source: the annotation of a RefSeq genome assembly
CCUCUGGUUUACUGCAUCAAAAGGACGAAGAAAGAAAGACUUUUGACUACAUAAUUUUAGGCAGCAUUUCGGGUAUCAAGACAAAGUAUCAGGAUGGAGAAGAUGCAGGGAUCUGUGCUAGUUAUAUUUUGGCUUCAUCUUGGCUGGGUGAAAGGAGGAAACCAGGUGGAGCAGAGUCCUCCUUCCUUGAGACCCUGGGAAGGAGACGGCACCUCUAUGAGCUGCACUUAUUCAGUCAGUGGUUUUAACGGUCUGCAGUGGUACAGAGAGGAUGCAGGGAUAGGUCUCAGACACCUCUUCUCCAUGUAUUCAGCUGGGGAUGUGAAGCAGAAGGGAAGACUCCAAGCCACGUUGUUGAAGGAUGGAAGCAGCUUGAACAUCACAGCCGUGCGGCAUGGAGACUCAGCCACCUAUUUCUGUGCUGUAGUCACACAGUGCAACCCAGGCACCUGCGACCUGCACCCAAAUCUACAGCUGAGCAGGCGCAGCUUGACAGAACCCUCUGCAGCAGGGCUCGAGCCUAGGUCCUUGUAUGGAGUUAAAGGCUGACACCUGCAGAGCAGGGAGAAGACCCCAGCAGCCAGGGAGGUCAGGAGACAAGUGCUGAUGCUCAUUUGAGCCACAUUUUUCAUCUGGCCACCCUUCACGUUCUCCUGGGGCCUCUUCUGAAUACAUCAAUCCCAGUGUUCCUUCUCUCCUACCAGAUCCAUCAGAGCCCCUGGUCAUUCUUUGGAUAUGGAGAGCAUGUCUUCUUUUGGGUCUGGUGGGAACAGAAAAACUUAGGACUGCACUUCCACUUCUAGAAAUCUGACAAAAGAACUGUAGAUAGGAGCACAAAUCUGGAUAGGUUAUGUAUACCAAAAGGCAAGCAUUGUGGCUUUCAGUAUGUAAAAUGUUCUAUC